This 274-nucleotide ribosomal RNA is filed under the name uncultured bacterium. RNAcentral describes it as "partial 16S ribosomal RNA". It matches the Rfam family "Bacterial small subunit ribosomal RNA", at positions 523 to 796 of the family's 1533-position model. The record is from RNAcentral.
AUACGAAAGGUGCAAGCGUUGUUCGGAUUUACUGGGCGUAAAGAGAGUGUAGGUUGUUUAUUAAGUCGGAUGUGAAAUCCCGGGGCUCAACCUCGGAACUGCAUUCGAUACUGAUAGGCUAGAGUUUGGGAGGGGUAAGCGGAAUUCCGUGUGUAGCAGUGAAAUGCGUAGAUAUACGGAGGAACACCUGAGGCGAAGGCGGCUUACUGGACCAAUACUGACACUGAGACUCGAAAGCGUGGGUAGCAAACAGGAUUAGAUACCCCGGUAGUCC